This 91-nucleotide transfer RNA is filed under the name Armillaria solidipes. It matches the Rfam family "tRNA". Rfam says of the family: Transfer RNA (tRNA) molecules are approximately 80 nucleotides in length. Their secondary structure includes four short double-helical elements and three loops (D, anti-codon, and T loops). Lineage: Eukaryota; Fungi; Basidiomycota; Agaricomycetes; Agaricales; Physalacriaceae. The record is from Rfam by way of RNAcentral.
CCGACCUUAGCUCAGCUGGAAGAGCGCGAGACUGUAAUCGGAUGUCACAGCUUCAAUCUUGAGGUCGCCUGUUCGAGCCAGGCAGGUCGGA